GUGCUCGCUUCGGCAGCACAUAUACUAAAAUUGGAACGAUACAGAGAAGAUUAGCAUGGCCCCUGCGCAAGGAUGAAAAUGUGUUGCUUUUUAAAAAAAUUUAU
Myotis daubentonii (Daubenton's bat) is the source of this 104-nucleotide small nuclear RNA. The record is from RefSeq and is a predicted model, not a curated record. NCBI's taxonomy places the organism in Eukaryota, Metazoa, Chordata, Mammalia, Chiroptera, Vespertilionidae.